CUCCCGCCGGCGACCGGCGCACGGGUGAGUAACACGUAUGAAACCUGCCCGUAGCAGGGGGAUAAGCGGAAGAAAUUCCGUCUAAUACCGCGUAACAACCCAUGGAGGCAUCUCUGUGGGUUUAAAGGAAGCGAUUCCGGCUACGGACGGUCAUGCGUCGCAUUAGCUUGUUGGCGGGGUAACGGCCCACCAAGGCGACGAUGCGUAGGGGUUCUGAGAGGAAGGUCCCCCACACUGGUACUGAGACACGGACCAGACUCCUACGGAAGGCAGCAG
This 276-nucleotide ribosomal RNA is filed under the name uncultured bacterium. RNAcentral's name for it is "partial 16S ribosomal RNA". It matches the Rfam family "Bacterial small subunit ribosomal RNA", at positions 82 to 354 of the family's 1533-position model. The record is from RNAcentral.